Non-coding RNA from Macaca mulatta (Rhesus monkey), 2531 nucleotides. The record is from RefSeq and is a predicted model, not a curated record. NCBI's taxonomy places the organism in Eukaryota, Metazoa, Chordata, Mammalia, Primates, Cercopithecidae.
AGGAUGGGGGCGGAGGGAUGGAGGAGGUGCUGAGCCCACAGCACUCUCCUUUCCCAGGCCCCUACCCAGAAGCUGUCCCGCCACUCGUAAAGCGCCUGGAAGAUGGAAAGGAUCUCUCUGUUAUUAUUGUAAUAUACCUUGUCCAGAAUUCAUGAUGAAAUACAUUUUCUCCAGAACGUUUAAUGGUGUGAAAUCAAACUGUCUGUUGUCAGACCGUUCUCCAUGCCUCCCCUAACCCCAGUAUUUGUGCUGAAGAUGGUGGGACCUCAAUUCACCCUUCUGGAAUGUUGCAGAGCCUGGCCGCAGCCUGAGCAGUGGCAGCUUUCCAGGAGCCUGAGGUCUGAAUCUGCCUGGUACAGCAUCCUGGAGGGCACAUGCAGACACAGAAGUUCUGUGUGCCCUGUGAAACAGUGGGCCAGUAAUCCAGCUGAGUGCUUCUGGACCCGGGCCGCCACCAGGGAACUGACAACCCCACAUCUGCCACAGGCAGAAAACUUGCAGGGGUCAGGGGAAGCUCUUUCUCUGCCAUUUAAGAAGGAACAGUGGAGGCCGGGGCUGCCAGCCCGCUUGGCUCACAACUUUUGGACUGUCUGGCAUUGUGGCCAGCACGUGACUGUGGUUAUUUGGGGCAAGCAGGGGUGCCCAAGUCCAAACACAUCUCCUCCCGGGCCUGUCCCUCGCUGACACAUCUGGUAAGCAUGAGAUGGAGACAGAGAACACUGUGUAACAGGAACCAACGCUGGGCUGUCCCAGCAUCCUUUAUGGAGAAAACUCUUUCUCUGGGGUCUGAAUGCUUCUGCUCUGAAAUAACCAGUGUGAAUUUCUUCUAAGCAGCCAGUGACCAGCCAACAGUUCGAGGUGGGCAAAGUCAACGAGGGGCUGGGUUUCAUUUCUCAUCAGUGGCAUGAGGGGGGUACACCAGGGGGUCUCCAGUCCCACUUAGACUCCAUUCCAUAACCUCAACCAAGCUCCUGUGCAUGCCAGGCACCUGGGGAGCCAAGGGAGUUGGUACCAGGAGUGGGGCCCAUGGGGCCCUGUGAGUGGGUGGUCAGGGGUGGGGAGAGACCAUGGAGGUCAAGGCGGGGUGCUCGCUCAGAGGACCAGAUGGCAAAAAGUCCCAGCAAAGCUGGUCUCUGUCCCUGCUCAACACAGCUUGUCCUUGUGAAGGGAGAGGGAGGAAAGGGACAACCGGCUCCGGGGAGGAAGAGCCCUGAGGGAGGUGUGGAUGGAGCACUCAGGAAGAUGAGGAAGAGGAGGUUCGAUUCAGCUUGAGCAUAGGGACAGUGCACAGCACGGUCUGCAUCAGAGAAUAUGUCUGGGCUCACACAGAGACUGAGGGACCUGCCACUUGGGGCCGGGUGGCCAUGACUUGGUGCAAAAGCCUCCACCCCCCACAGCCUCCCUGCUCUGAACCCCUGGCCUUGUGCAUCUCCUGCUCUCCUUCCUGAGCUAGCCUUGACCUCACGUCGCAGCUGCCGAUCCCUGGCUUCUUUUAUUCGGGAGAGACCUAGGGACUACCGCCACGAUGCACGCUCACUCCCUGCUCAGACCUGACGGUGGAUCCCGAGCCAUGGACCCUGGCAUUCUCCCCACAGGACAUCUUCAAGAAGAGGUUCCAGGCAGCAUCUUGAAGAAGAGUGUUCCAGGCAGCAGGAAUAGCAGGUGCACAGGCUAAGAGGUGGGAGCCCGCCUGGUCUGCAGGAAGAUAGCAGGGAGCUGGAGCACCAGCCGUGGAGAGGUGAGCUGAGGCCAGAGCAGCCGAGGGGGCUGCAGGCUUCGUGAACAGCAAGCCUGGAUGAGGCCUUGGGUCAUGGUGAGGACUGUGGCUUACUCUCCAAGUGGUUAAGGCUGGAGAGUGACAUCUGAUUUGCAUGUUAAAAUGAUAGCUGUGAUGGUGGAGAACAGUCUAUGGGGGGAUGGGGACUAGGGAGGUGCAAGAGACUUGGGGGAGGUGAAAGGUGAUGGUGGCUGCCCCAGAGUGUCGGAGGUAGCAGGGGCAGGAGCGACUGGACACUGGGCACUUUCCAAGGUGGAGCUGGCAGCAUGUGCUGGCAGGAGGAAGAGGGGUACAAGAGUCUCGGAGGAGUCAAGGGCGAGUCCAAACAGUUGGAGGGUGGGAGCUGCUGUCAACUGAGAUGGGAAGAUUUGGGAUGUGGAGUAGUGGGAAGCUAAGAGUUUGGGUAUAUCAGGCUCCUUCAACGUCUGUCUGAGUGAAGGGGCUGAGGACACAGUGGGAUGUGUAAGUCUGGAAUUCAGAGGAAAGAACAUGCUGGGGAUAUGCAGUUUAGGAGUUGUUGGCAUCUAUGUGGUAUUCAAAGCCACAAGACUCAAUGAAGUACCAGGGAGAGUGAAGGUGGGAUACAGAAAAGAAGUCGUCCAAGCCUCAGGUGGCUCGUGGGGUCAGAGUGUGAGGGAGAUCAGACACUGGCCCCACAGGUGGGACAGGAGGGAGGGAGAUUGGACACUGGCCCCACAGGUGGGACAGGAGGGAGGGAGAUUGGACACUGGCCCCACGGGUGGGACGGGAGGGA